Molecule: ribosomal RNA, 253 nt
Filed under: uncultured bacterium
Lineage: Bacteria
Description: partial 16S ribosomal RNA
Rfam family: Bacterial small subunit ribosomal RNA
Source: RNAcentral
UACGUAGGGUGCGAGCGUUAAUCGGAAUUACUGGGCGUAAAGCGUGCGCAGGCGGUUUUGUAAGCCAGAUGUGAAAUCCCCGGGCUUAACCUGGGAAUGGCAUUUGGGACUGCAAGGCUGGAGUAUGGCAGAGGGGACUAGAAUUCCUGGUGUAGCAGUGAAAUGCGUAGAUAUCAGGAGGAAUACCGAUGGCGAAGGCAGGUCUCUGGGCCACUACUGACGCUGAGAAGCGAAAGCAUGGGGAGCGAACAGG